GCCGAAGUGGCGGAAUUGGUAGACGCAGCGGACUCAAAAUCCGCCGCCCUUAAAAGCGUGUGGGUUCGAGUCCCACCUUCGGCACCA
Molecule: transfer RNA, 87 nt
Filed under: Lysobacteraceae bacterium
Lineage: Bacteria; Pseudomonadati; Pseudomonadota; Gammaproteobacteria; Lysobacterales; Lysobacteraceae
Also listed under: 3 other names
Description: tRNA-Leu
Rfam family: tRNA
About the family: Transfer RNA (tRNA) molecules are approximately 80 nucleotides in length. Their secondary structure includes four short double-helical elements and three loops (D, anti-codon, and T loops).
Source: RNAcentral